UCGUAGACGGUGAGCCAUACAAUAGAGCGGAUGGGCGGACGGUUAACGAGACGACUAAUUCGAAGUAACCGUCAAGCUAGCAAGUGAAGACGGGAACGGACCUCGAUGCUCGCCACCCGCACUCAAACUGACUGCCGUCACAACUCGCUACUAGCCUCAGCCGAAGCCACUAGCUUACUAGCUCGCUAACCGCACGGAAAGAUGACCCAAGAUAUGGGACGGACUGGGUGUCUCUGGGUCUCCGCAGCAAAUUACUUCCUCGCGUUGGACUGCGUGGUCGAGUGGGGCCUUAGUCGAUGGGGAGGGAAGCUAUCGUCGUGUUGGGCCUCCGGGCCCCGAACCCUCCGUUGAACGCGAUACUCUUCGUUUGGGCCCGACUGGCUUAUCGCACGAGAAACACGAUGGGCACACUACAACACUACACUCCUGAAAGAUCGCGGAUUCUCCAAAAGAUAAAUUUUCUCCUGGAACUUAAGACAUGGCUUCUCGUAAGUUGAGGCGGUUUUUCGUGAAAUUUAAACUGGUUUUCAGUGAUAUAAUAACGAGUAAAUAAAUGACUCGGUGCAGCUUCUUCGAGCUCGUGAAGAUCAUAGAAUCAGCAAUGUUUGGCAAAUAUAAGACGAAGUUGAUGCUAUUGAUAGUGCAUUACUGUUGGUAAUUGUGAGACCAUCGAAUUUCUUCAUACCAUGUUCGACCACCGGACGAUACUGACUUAUAUCUUUUAAUGACGUUAGUCAACAACGUACAUAGGUGGAAUACAUUUGUAGAUAAAUGUCCGAUUGUACUAACAGUGUAGAUCAAGAAAAACAGAAUUGAGGCAACGUUCAAGAAGUAAUUCAUUGGUAAUUAGAAGCACCCAUUAUAAAGUGCAAGAUGAAAAUGAUAAGGAUAGGGCGCCAAGAAAACUUGACACGGCCCUGAAGAUAGGAAUUGAACGACACAGCCGGCACGAUGAGUACUGUUGUGUGUUAUGGCGCCUGCUUACGGUCGGUAGGAAUCCGUUCCAGCUGACAAGGCAGGAGCAUUGUAAUAUCUAUGGAUAACGUAGAACAUGCCGCAAAAUGCGCAGGUAAAUCUGAUCCGCUCCGUAAGUCUUUCAAUGACGUUUAAACUAUUGACCUAUUAAAGUGUAAUAAAAACGACUACAUUUUCUUCCCUUCUCAACCUGAUCACGUGUCUUUGAUUCGUUGCAACUGUAAACAUUGCAGGCACCACGGAUGCACAGCUGGUACAUUGAAAAUUCCACAACGAUGGCCAACGAUUCACUACGGAAAGCAAUAAAUCUCUGCCAAACCCCAUCCUAGCAUAUUGCACGACUUUUAAUUAAGAACCACUAAGUUGGAAAAAAAUGUUCUGCUGUCUACUAUAUACAAUUCAUAAUGACAUUCUCCAUGAGAUUUCAACUGCACGUGGAAGGCUGACCCAGUACCAAUCACACGGGUAUUUUAACAUAUAAGUCUUCAAGGUUAACAUUAGGCUCGCAUCACAAUUCCAUGUUCUAUACUUGAAAUCCAUAACCUUUUUUAAGAAAAUGGAAAUUUAUAAUUAUCAUUUCACAAAUUACAUCAUAAUCAAUGUAAUCGUCCAUCGUUCAAUAUAUAGUUAUAUAUUCA
Molecule: long non-coding RNA, 1613 nt
Organism: Cephus cinctus (wheat stem sawfly)
Lineage: Eukaryota; Metazoa; Arthropoda; Insecta; Hymenoptera; Cephidae
Exons: 2
Source: RefSeq, a predicted model, not a curated record